AGCGUAGACGGACUGGCAAGUCUGAUGUGAAAGGCGGGGGCUCAACCCCUGGACUGCAUUGGAAACUGUUAGUCUUGAGUGCCGGAGAGGUAAGCGGAAUUCCUAGUGUAGCGGUGAAAUGCGUAGAUAUUAGGAGGAACACCAGUGGCGAAGGCGGCUUGCUGGACAGUAACUGACGUUGAGGCUCGAAAGCGUGGGAGCAAACA
Molecule: ribosomal RNA, 206 nt
Filed under: uncultured bacterium
Lineage: Bacteria
Description: partial 16S ribosomal RNA
Rfam family: Bacterial small subunit ribosomal RNA
Source: RNAcentral